UCGUCCGUAUGUUGCCAGCACGUAAUGGUGGGAACUCAUAUGAGACUGCCGGGGUCAACUCGGAGGAAGGUGGGGAUGACGUCAAAUCAUCAUGCCCCUUAUGUCUUGGGCUUCACGCAUGCUACAAUGGCCGGUACAAAGGGCUGCGAUGUCGUAAGGCGGAGCGAAUCCCAAAAAGCCGGUCUCAGUUCGGAUUGAGGUCUGCAACUCGACCUCAUGAAGUCGGAGUCGCUAGUAAUCGCAGAUCAGCAACGCUGCGGUGAAUACGUUCCCGGGCCUU
Molecule: ribosomal RNA, 280 nt
Filed under: uncultured bacterium
Lineage: Bacteria
Description: partial 16S ribosomal RNA
Rfam family: Bacterial small subunit ribosomal RNA
Source: RNAcentral